UACAGAGGGUGCGAGCGUUAAUCGGAAUUACUGGGCGUAAAGCGCGCGUAGGCGGCUUUGCAAGUCGGAUGUGAAAUCCCCAGGCUCAACCUGGGAACUGCAUUCGAGACUGCUUUGCUAGAGUAUGGGAGAGGGAAGUGGAAUUUCCGGUGUAGCGGUGAAAUGCGUAGAUAUCGGAAGGAACAUCAGUGGCGAAAGCGACUUCCUGGACCAAUACUGACGCUCAUGUGCGAAAGCGUGGGGAGCAAACGGG
Molecule: ribosomal RNA, 253 nt
Filed under: uncultured bacterium
Lineage: Bacteria
Description: partial 16S ribosomal RNA
Rfam family: Bacterial small subunit ribosomal RNA
Source: RNAcentral